GAAGGGAGCUAGCGUUGUUCGGAAUCACUGGGCGUAAAGCGCACGUAGGCGGAUUUGUUAGUCAGGGGUGAAAUCCCGGGGCUCAACCUCGGAACUGCCUUUGAUACUGCAAGUCUGGAGUCCGGAAGAGGUGGGUGGAAUUCCUAGUGUAGAGGUGAAAUUCUUAGAUAUUAGGAAGAACACCGGUGGCGAAGGCGGCCCACUGGUCCGGUACUGACGCUGAGGUGCGAAAGCGUGGGGAGCAAACAGGAUUAGAUACCCGUGGGUAGUCCACGCCGUAAACGAUGGAUGCUAGCCGUCGGCAAGCUUGCUUGUCGGUGGCGCAGCUAACGCAUUAAGCAUCCCGCCUGGGGAGUACGGCCGCAAGGUUA
This 371-nucleotide ribosomal RNA is filed under the name uncultured organism. RNAcentral describes it as "partial 16S ribosomal RNA". It matches the Rfam family "Bacterial small subunit ribosomal RNA", at positions 527 to 896 of the family's 1533-position model. The record is from RNAcentral.